GGAAUAUUGCGCAAUGGGCGAAAGCCUGACGCAGCAACGCCGCGUGAGGGAUGAAGGCCUUCGGGUUGUAAACCUCUUUUAGCAGGGAAGAAGCGAAAGUGACGGUACCUGCAGAAAAAGCACCGGCUAACUACGUGCCAGCAGCCGCGGUAAUACGUAGGGUGCAAGCGUUAUCCGGAAUUAUUGGGCGUAAAGAGCUCGUAGGCGGUUUGUCGCGUCUGCUGUGAAAAUCUGAGGCUCAACCUCGGACUUGCAGUGGGUACGGGCAGAACUAGAGUGCGGUAGGGGAGAAGGGAAUUCCUGGUGUAGCGGUGGAAUGCGCAGAUAUCAGGAGGAACACCAAUGGCGAAGGCACUUUCUUCUGGGCCGCUACUGACGCUGAGGAGCGAAAGCGUGGGGAGCGAACAGGAUUAGAUACCC
This 420-nucleotide ribosomal RNA is filed under the name actinobacterium SCGC AAA028-K11. RNAcentral's name for it is "bacterial SSU rRNA". It matches the Rfam family "Bacterial small subunit ribosomal RNA", at positions 358 to 787 of the family's 1533-position model. Lineage: Bacteria; Bacillati; Actinomycetota; Actinomycetes. The record is from RNAcentral.